Molecule: ribosomal RNA, 404 nt
Filed under: uncultured bacterium
Lineage: Bacteria
Description: bacterial SSU rRNA
Rfam family: Bacterial small subunit ribosomal RNA
Source: RNAcentral
ACUCCUACGGGAGGCAGCAGUGGGGAAUAUUGCACAAUGGGGGAAACCCUGAUGCAGCCAUGCCGCGUGUGUGAAGAAGGCCUUCGGGUUGUAAAGCACUUUCAGUAGGGAGGAAGGUAGUGUAGUUAACACCUGCAUUAUUUGUACGUUACCUACAGAAGAAGCACCGGCUAACUCCGUGCCAGCAGCCGCGGUAAGUACGGAGGGUGCGAGCGUUAAUCGGAAUUACUGGGCGUAAAGCGCAUGCAGGCGGCCUGUUAAGUCAGAUGUGAAAGCCCGGGGCUUAACCUCGGAAUUGCAUUUGAAACUGGCAGGCUAGAGUCUUGUAGAGGGGUUAGAAUUUCAGGUGUAGCGGUGAAAUGCGUAGAGAUCUGAAGGAAUACCGAGUGGCGAAGGCGGCCCCU